CCUACGGGAGGCAGCAGUGGGGAAUAUUGGGCAAUGGGCGCAAGCCUGACCCAGCAACGCCGCGUGAAGGAAGAAGGCUCUCGGGUUGUAAACUUCUUUUAUCAAGGGACAAAAUCAGGCUCGAGCGCCUGACCGAGGGUACUUGAAGAAAAAGCAUCGGCUAACUCCGUGCAAGCAGCCGCGGUAAUAAGGAGGAUGCGAGAGGUAUCCGGAUUUAUUGGGUGUAAAGGGUGCGUAGGCGGACUGUUAAGUCAGCGGUAACAGCCCGGGGCGCAACCCCGGCGGGCCGUUGAAACUGGCUGUCUUGAGAUGUCGAGAGGUAUGCAGAAUGCGCAGUGUAGCGGUGAGAUGCUUAGAUA
Molecule: ribosomal RNA, 359 nt
Filed under: uncultured bacterium
Lineage: Bacteria
Description: partial 16S ribosomal RNA
Rfam family: Bacterial small subunit ribosomal RNA
Source: RNAcentral